AAUGUCGUAACAAGGUUUUCCGUAGGUGAACCUGCGGAAGGAUCAUUAUUUGAAAAGUAAAUGGGUUGUCUGCUGGCCAUCUCGGGGUCACGUGCACGCCCAAAAUUCCACAACACACCUGUGAACCCACCGUAGGCCCAACGGGCUUAUGUAUAUCAUAUACUCUGAUCAUAGAAUGUAAAUUAUUUUGGCCCUUAAAAAAUCGCAAUGAAAUACAA
RNAcentral lists this unclassified non-coding RNA (218 nucleotides) under plant metagenome. RNAcentral's name for it is "partial contains small subunit ribosomal RNA and internal transcribed spacer 1". The stretch from base 1 to 48 matches the Rfam family "Eukaryotic small subunit ribosomal RNA", at positions 1785 to 1831 of the family's 1831-position model. The record is from RNAcentral.